This 1220-nucleotide ribosomal RNA is filed under the name Leuconostoc carnosum. Its description in RNAcentral is "bacterial SSU rRNA". It matches the Rfam family "Bacterial small subunit ribosomal RNA", at positions 239 to 1454 of the family's 1533-position model. Lineage: Bacteria; Bacillati; Bacillota; Bacilli; Lactobacillales; Lactobacillaceae. The record is from RNAcentral.
CAUAAUUAGUUGGUGGGUAAAGGCCUACCAAGACAAUGAUGCAUAGCCGAGUUGAGAGACUGAUCGGCCACAUUGGGACUGAGACACGGCCCAAACUCCUACGGGAGGCUGCAGUAGGGAAUCUUCCACAAUGGGCGAAAGCCUGAUGGAGCAACGCCGCGUGUGUGAUGAAGGCUUUCGGGUCGUAAAGCACUGUUGUAUGGGAAGAAAAGUUAAGGUAGGGAAUGACCUUAGCCUGACGGUACCAUACCAGAAAGGGACGGCUAAAUACGUGCCAGCAGCCGCGGUAAUACGUAUGUCCCGAGCGUUAUCCGGAUUUAUUGGGCGUAAAGCGAGCGCAGACGGUUGGUUAAGUCUGAUGUGAAAGCCCGGAGCUCAACUCCGGAAAGGCAUUGGAAACUGGUUAACUUGAGUGCAGUAGAGGUAAGUGGAACUCCAUGUGUAGCGGUGGAAUGCGUAGAUAUAUGGAAGAACACCAGCGGCGAAGGCGGCUUACUGGACUGUAACUGACGUUGAGGCUCGAAAGUGUGGGUAGCAAACAGGAUUAGAUACCCUGGUAGUCCACACCGUAAACGAUGAACACUAGGUGUUAGGAGGUUUCCGCCUCUUAGUGCCGAAGCUAACGCAUUAAGUGUUCCGCCUGGGGAGUACGACCGCAAGGUUGAAACUCAAAGGAAUUGACGGGGACCCGCACAAGCGGUGGAGCAUGUGGUUUAAUUCGAAGCAACGCGAAGAACCUUACCAGGUCUUGACAUCCUUUGAAGCUUUUAGAAAUAGAAGUGUUCUCUUCGGAGACAAAGUGACAGGUGGUGCAUGGUCGUCGUCAGCUCGUGUCGUGAGAUGUUGGGUUAAGUCCCGCAACGAGCGCAACCCUUAUUGUUAGUUGCCAGCAUUCAGAUGGGCACUCUAGCGAGACUGCCGGUGACAAACCGGAGGAAGGCGGGGACGACGUCAGAUCAUCAUGCCCCUUAUGACCUGGGCUACACACGUGCUACAAUGGCGUAUACAACGAGUUGCCAACCUGCGAAGGUGAGCUAAUCUCUUAAAGUACGUCUCAGUUCGGACUGCAGUCUGCAACUCGACUGCACGAAGUCGGAAUCGCUAGUAAUCGCGGAUCAGCACGCCGCGGUGAAUACGUUCCCGGGUCUUGUACACACCGCCCGUCACACCAUGGAAGUUUGUAAUGCCCAAAGCCGGUGGCCUAACCGUAAGGAGGAACC